UACAAGGCUCAGAAAACACCAAAAAAAAAGCAUCAGAGGGGGGAAAUGUAGGAGGCAGAGUAAGAAGACUGUGUAACACAAAGACAUCGUUUGAACAUGACAUGUAACACCCAUAAACUCACGGUAGCUGUGGUUAGCAGCACAGGAUUGGACACACAGCAUGGCUACAGGCAGACCUGUGAGAAUCUACCUGUCCCUGGGGAUCCAUUGGCAGUUAACGGUCUCUGAGGAAGGGAGUAUCAUUUUCUUCAGUGAUACAGCCCCUGGUAUGUUACUCUUGCUCCAGUAAGUAACCUCCUACCCAAUCUUGUGCAAGAAACCUAAUUAAACUCAGUGGGUCUCACACAAGAAGGAAGGCAUGAAGGUAGGAGGGAGAACUCUUUGGACAAAAUGUUCCAGCAGGAAAGGGAGGAUAAGAAAGGGAAUGGAGAGUACAAAUAACUUCAAUUCAUUAGAUAGAUAGAUAGAUAGAUAGAUAGAUAGAUAGAUAGAUAGAUAGGUAGGUAGGUAGGUAGGUAGGUAGGUAGGUAGGUAGGUAGGUAGGUAGNNNNNNNNNNUGUAGGUAGGUAGGUAGAUAGAUAGAUCUCUUAGAAAGUACUGUCAAAAUUUUAAUGGGAAAAAAAACAGUAGAUUGUCAGACAAGAAAACAGCUAAGAGAGGAAGAGAGUUAAACACCCAGGCCUGUUUUGGUGGCAUGUUUGGUGAGGUUGUAGAACCUUUAAGAGGCACUUUUCUAGGAGAACUAUAUUCUGGGGGCAGGUGUUAAGGGUUCAUAGCCUGGUUUCCACUUCCAGUCUUGGAUCACUGCUUGGGUUAAGAGUUGGAUAUACUAUCUCUCACACUUCUGGCCUGAUGGCUUGCAGCCAUGCAUUCCCCUAAUGCUUGUAGACUCCCCCUCUGGAACACCCUAAGCCGAAAGAAACUCCUUUGCUGCCCUGGUGUUUAUAGUAGCAACAGAAAAGUGGCUUACGUAAGUUUCCAGAGAACAUACAAGAUCUAUAUGGAAAUACUACUGACUUUUGCAUCACACAGUCUUACAGACCUCUCCUGGGUUUCUUAUAAAAUAAUUAACUUUGUCUGUAAGUAAUAAAAAUUUUGCCUAGUUAAAAAGUAUACUCACCAUUUACUUAUUUCCAAUAUAUAGGACUUGGAAUACUAUUUUGAACAUUAGCCAUCAACUGUGGUCAAUCCUGUCUUUUCUUAACUUAAAGAAAUCAAAGUAUCUUUCUGAAAUAUUACACUUCUUGGGAAAGGUUUUGUUAUACAAAAAUACUCUUUUAAUGCCAGUUAGUAACUAUCCUUGGGAAAUACUGCACAGAUGCACAGGGGAUGUGAAGGAGGUUUUUGCGAUUUCCAUUGCUGGUAACAUGCUGAAGAUCACUUAAGAACUCAGCACUUUAACGAUGGC
Molecule: long non-coding RNA, 1408 nt
Filed under: Mus spicilegus (steppe mouse)
Lineage: Eukaryota; Metazoa; Chordata; Mammalia; Rodentia; Muridae
Description: lncRNA (ENSMSIG00000008659.1)
Source: RNAcentral